GUCUACGUAGCUCAGCUGGAUAGAGCACACGCCUUCUAAGCGUGCGGUCGCGGGUUCGAAUCCCUCCGUGGACGCCA
Molecule: transfer RNA, 77 nt
Filed under: Eggerthia catenaformis
Lineage: Bacteria; Bacillati; Bacillota; Erysipelotrichia; Erysipelotrichales; Coprobacillaceae
Also listed under: 12 other names
Description: tRNA-Arg
Rfam family: tRNA
About the family: Transfer RNA (tRNA) molecules are approximately 80 nucleotides in length.
Source: RNAcentral